This 59-nucleotide transfer RNA is filed under the name Panagrellus redivivus. Its description in RNAcentral is "tRNA-Met". Lineage: Eukaryota; Metazoa; Nematoda; Chromadorea; Rhabditida; Panagrolaimidae. The record is from RNAcentral.
UGUUAAUUAGGAUAAAUAGUCUAAGGGGUUCAUACCCUCAAGGUUCCUAGUGUAGGAAU